RNAcentral lists this ribosomal RNA (777 nucleotides) under uncultured Neocallimastigales. Its description in RNAcentral is "partial large subunit ribosomal RNA". It matches the Rfam family "Eukaryotic large subunit ribosomal RNA", at positions 26 to 616 of the family's 3401-position model. Lineage: Eukaryota; Fungi; Neocallimastigomycota; Neocallimastigomycetes; Neocallimastigales. The record is from RNAcentral.
CGCAUCUGUGCAUGCAGCAUAUCAAUAAGCGGAGGAAAAGAAACUAACAAGGAUUCCCCUAGUUAACGGCGAGUGAAGCGGGAAGAGCUCAAAUUUGAAAUCUUAAAGGGUUUCCCUUUACGAAUUGUAGUUUAAAGAAGUGUUUUCUGUUGAGGUUUUGGUAAAAGUUCUUUGGAAUAGGACAUCACAGAGGGUGAGAAUCCCGUAUUUGACCUUUACUUUCAACUUUGUGAUACACUUUCAAAGAGUCGGAUUGUUUGGGAAAUGCAGUCCAAAAUGGGUGGUAAAUUUCAUCUAAAGCUAAAUAUUGGCGAGAGACCGAUAGCGAACAAGUACCGUGAGGGAAAGAUGAAAAGAACUUUGAAAAGAGAGUUAAACAGUACGUGAAAUUGUCAAAAGGGAAGCGUUUGACACCAGUGUUGUUUUUCUGAAAAUCAAUUAAAGAACUGUUUAUGCUAAGUUGUUUAGACUUUAUCAGCUAACUGUUUAGUUUUGAGCUUUUCUUUAAUGCACUUUUCAGUUAACAAGUCAACAUCAAUUUCUUUUGCUGUAAAAAAGCUUGAGGAAGGUGGCUUGAGAUUCGUCUUAAGUGUUUAUAGCCUCUUGCCUAUGCAGUCGGAGAGAUUGAGGUCUGCAGGCGUAGAUCCUUCGGGGCUAAAUGCAUUUGUGCUAAGUUAUAGCAUUUUAUAGACAACUUGUUGACUAUGAUUUGUCUUGUAGCUUACUCGCUUAUGUUAUUUUACCUACGCUUAGGAUGUUGAGCGCAUGUCUCUCUCU